Molecule: ribosomal RNA, 274 nt
Filed under: uncultured bacterium
Lineage: Bacteria
Description: partial 16S ribosomal RNA
Rfam family: Bacterial small subunit ribosomal RNA
Source: RNAcentral
AUACGGGGGGGGCAAGCGUUGUUCGGAUUUACUGGGCGUAAAGGGCUCGUAGGCGGCCAUUUAAGUCGGUUGUGAAAUCCCUCGGCUCAACCGAGGAACUGCGACCGAUACUGGAUGGCUUGAAGCCGGGAGAGGGAUGCGGAAUUCCAGGUGUAGCGGUGAAAUGCGUAGAUAUCUGGAGGAACACCCGUGGCGAAGGCGGCAUCCUGGACCGGUCUUGACGCUGAGGAGCGAAAGCUAGGGUAGCAAACGGGAUUAGAUACCCCAGUAGUCC